This 261-nucleotide ribosomal RNA is filed under the name uncultured archaeon. Its description in RNAcentral is "partial 16S ribosomal RNA". It matches the Rfam family "Archaeal small subunit ribosomal RNA", at positions 748 to 1009 of the family's 1478-position model. The record is from RNAcentral.
UAGGCGUAAAUGAUGCGAGUUAAGUGUGGGGGCAUCUACGAGAUGGCCCUGUGCUGUAGGGUAGCCGUUAAACUCGCUGCCUGGGGAGUACGGUCGCAAGGCUGAAACUUAAAGGAAUUGGCGGGGGAGCACAACAACGGGUGGAGCUUGCGGUUUAAUUGGAUUCAACGCCGGAAAUCUUACCGGGACCGACAGCAACAUGAAGGCCAGGCUGAAGACUUUGCCGGAUUAGCUGAGAGGUGGUGCAUGGCGUAGUCGUGU